RNAcentral lists this long non-coding RNA (386 nucleotides) under Elaeis guineensis (African oil palm). RNAcentral describes it as "long non-coding RNA (EGUI_LNC067698)". The record is from RNAcentral. Lineage: Eukaryota; Viridiplantae; Streptophyta; Magnoliopsida; Arecales; Arecaceae.
AUGCACUAGGAUUGGCCAAGGUAUACUCAGACCUGAAUGCGGUCUAUGAGGAUUCUAGUACCUGCUAAGGGAUUAAUAUAAUUCUUUGAAUUGAAGGUAGAGGCUACUAAUGAAAGAAUUGUGUCCUGCAAGCCAAUCGCAUUUGAUAUGUGAUAGGAUCUUUUUUGUAAUUACUCCCAACUCAUGUAUGAUAUUUAUUAUUAAUCAAUAAUAAAGAGGUAUUUUGUUGAUUCAUUAUUUGCUAUGUCUUAAUAAUUUUUAAGAUUAUGAUGAACCCCAUAGAUUAGAGCAAUAAUUUUAUAGACAUGAAGAGUUCAUAUCACUGAGACCUAAAACUCUAAAAUCUUAAUCUAAAAUAAUCCUAGUCGUUAGAUCAUUGUGUCAGG